This 1382-nucleotide long non-coding RNA is filed under the name Salmo salar (Atlantic salmon). RNAcentral's name for it is "lncRNA (ENSSSAG00000088074.1)". Lineage: Eukaryota; Metazoa; Chordata; Actinopteri; Salmoniformes; Salmonidae. The record is from RNAcentral.
GAAAAAUCUAUCAAACUAUGUCUCAAUGUUUCUCAAAAUUACUGUAGCUGGCUAAUACAUGUUAUCAUGCUUUGUGAUACACCCAGUUUUAUGCAGUUGAAGUCCAAACAACAUGUCGCCCUGUGACCUACAGUAGAUCCUGAUAUACAACAUGGGGGGAACAAUAAAAUUGGCCAUGCUUUUUUGUUCUACCAGAUCUGCGAUGAGAAGGUUCUAGCUAGUGGAUCCCUCUGUCCUUCGACUCUUAUUGUAUGCAGUUGUCCAGUUUAUCAGGUCCCAGCCUCCCGUGACAGUUAUGAUUAUUUAUUUACAAGUUAAUUAACAUUUGCUUUAGCACCAUCUGUACCUGAUAGAGCAGAUCUAGUCCCACGUGCGAGAGAUUCAUCACUGGGAGGAAGACUAGAGCAGACCCAGAAGUUGUGACUGAAUGGAUGCACAUUUGAGGGCCCCAGGAUGGUCCAUUUACUUUGUGUUGUUAUAAUUUAUGCUAUGAAAUCCUACGAAUCCUACGAUAAAUCAUUAAAAUCCAGACUGAAAAUAUUUACACAAGAAGCAACCUAAUAUCACACAGUCAACCUCUCAGUCAUUUAGUAAGUUCACCAUUCUGCCAUUCCCACUGUUAAACAUUGCACAGUGCACUACGAUUUCAUUGGGGAAGUUCCUCCUCAUAGCAAAUAGCUGGCAAAACAUUCCAAGCAAUGUCUACACCACCUAUGUGCCCAUGGAGACGGAGCUGCUGCUUCUGCUGCUGCUGGCAGUCACUGAGGGGCAAAGUAGUACUUCAAUAAAGGAAGCAGCAUGACAACUGGAGGCUGACUAGAAGGGAGGAACGAUCAGAGUGGUUAACUAUAGAUUCUCAGAGAGUAGGCUAUUGUCCAGUCUCAGACCACAUAAAAGACCACAUACCAUAUGUAUCCUCCAGAAACCUGUUACUUUUUAGCCUACUGUGCUUUAAGAGGCUAGCAUCAAAGUGAAAGUCAUACAGAGUAUUUUCAAAGGGAAGAGCCAGGACAGCUAGCAACAUAACAUGGAGCUGCCAGGAGCAGAAGGAUUGGUGAGCGAUCAGAUAGGGCAGAAUUGAUGACCUGGCUCAGGAUGGAUUUCUGGGAGAGCGGGCUGCCAGAGCGAGGGUCUGUGUGUGUGCUGGGCUGGCUGGACAGAGUGGGCUGGUGCUUGUGGAGAUGGCCUCAUGUCACUCAUUACAAACUCCAUGGAGUUCCCAGCUAUCAAUAUAGAAUGCAUUUUUUUUGCAAGCAGAAAUCCAAUUACGGAUAGUCUAGAAGCUGUUAGGGUCAGGAAUAAAAGUUCAAAAAGACAGAGUUAGUUAUUUAAUUUCCAUCUUUGUUGUGGAUGAUACAUGUAAUAAGAUGUCUUAAUUAAAG